Molecule: ribosomal RNA, 497 nt
Filed under: uncultured bacterium
Lineage: Bacteria
Description: partial 16S ribosomal RNA
Rfam family: Bacterial small subunit ribosomal RNA
Source: RNAcentral
GAUGAACGCUGGCGGCGUGCCUAAUACAUGCAAGUCGAGCGAACGGACGAGAAUCUUGCUUUUCUGAUGUUAGCGGCGGACGUGUGAGUAACACGUGGAUAACCUCCCUAUAAGACUGGUAUAACUUCGGGAAACCGGAGCUAAUACCGGAUAAUAUUUUGAACCGCAUGGUUCAAAAGUGAAAGACGGUCUUGCUGUCACUUAUAGAUGGAUCCGCGCUGCAUUGGCUAGUUGGUAAGGUAACGGCUUACCAAGGCAACGAUGCAUAGCCGACCUGAGAGGGUGAUCGGCCACACUGGAACUGAGACACGGUCCAGACUCCUACGGGAGGCAGCAGUAGGGAAUCUUCCGCAAUGGGCGAAAGCAUGACGGAGCAACGCCGCGUGAGUGAUGAAGGUCUUCGGAUCGUAAAACUCUGUUAUUAGGGAAGAACAUAUGUGUAAGUAAAUGUGCACAUCUUGACGGUACCUAAUCAGAAAGCCACGGCUAACUACGUG